UUAGCAUCACUAUGAAUUCAUCAAGAUAAAUGUAUCCAGCCAACCGUAACAUUACAAGAGAAAAAUAAGUAUCCAGUCAAUCAUAACACUACAAACAAAAGUAACCCAUGCAUAGCAUACGUGUUUAAACAAUUUUCAUCACUAAAGUUGCACAACAAGCUCAGUUUAUAUUAGCUUAGAGGGCUCUAAAACAUCACCAACAGCAGAUAUCCAGGUCUGCCUUCCAUAUUCCCCCUACUUAGGUUUCAUCAUAUCUGCAGAAGAAGAAACAGAAUUUCAAUCAGGAGUGCAAUCUCAUGCAGUAGAAUAAGAAAACAAGUACUCUUAUGAAACUCAGAAGGCCAAAGGAGGUCAUGUUGCCUCACCUUUGUCACGGGCAAUACAAGGCUGACACAUUAACCUCCAUAUUCACAACCAAGAUAUUACUGUAAAAGUUGAAUGCAUACCAUGAAGCAGAGUUAAACAUGAUGGAACAUUACAAGGACCAUAUUGUUAUCGAUUGGUACCACAUUAUGCAGAAUGCAGAACAUUCCUACAAUAUCUUUUGAACCUGUGGAGUAGGAGGAUAAACACAAGCACACACCUAUGCAGGCACACAACUGAACUCAUCCAAAUAGAAAUUCAAAGACAUUGCUCAUAUUUUUCCAAUUAAAUUAAAUGACUAGAAACUUGAGUUUGCCAUCCAAAAAAAAAAUUGAAAGAAGAAAAUAAAACAUGAUUACCACUAAAAAAUUUGAAAGAAGAAAACAAUGAUAAUCACUAAAAAGAAAUUGAAAGAAGAGAAAAAAAUUGUUAUCACUAUAAGGUGCAACCUUCAACGAUUAGAACCUCAAAAUACUCAAUGCAAGACUUCACCUUAGGAUUUUGAAGACCUUCAAGCACCCAUCAUCAAUCUUUUAGAAUCAACAACCAUUUAAUCCCAUUCUCAUCAAAACGGUCCAAUGUCCAAGAAUUGAAGGAAAAUGACGUAUCUAUUUCUUCCUAAAAAGAAAAGGCGAAAUCAUCUAAUAAUUACUGUAUAAAUGUACAUUUGCCUGGGGGAUUCUACAUUAUAAAAGUAACCAAUGAAAAAGGGAGGAUUAAAUAUCGUUGUCUUCUUCUGAGCAUAGGAAGAAAAAAAAACUGAAAUCCAAUCUACAAUACUGCAAAAUUACCAUUGAAUAAAAACUUCACCUUGAACAACAUGUCCAGUUUCUCUCUAUUAUUGAAGGAGAGGGUGAUACCCAGUAGCUCUGGUUAAAACAAUUUUUUUUUGAGAAGCUAGUUCCAAAUGGUAAAGAUUGAGAGUAACUAAAAGUUAUAUAGCCACCCAAACUUAACAACAAUUGGAUGUAAUGACAGGUAAGUCAGGUGCACACUGUGCAGCGGAGAAGGACGACCAAGAAUCUUGGCAAAAUUGAGAAGAAACCCAGAAGCAGGAGCAACAGGUGCAGCCAUUGAGAGGAAGAACAAACGCACAACCAGUACAGAGAUUCCUCAGUGAUGUGGCACAAAAAACUAACUGAAAUACCAAGAUGCAAAUAUGGUGUUCUAGUAUUCAAAAGAAUAGAGAAGACAAUUAGUUGCAAACUUUUUUUCAAUCCAAAAUGUGUACACACACAAACAUGUAUAUAUGUGUAUGUAUGCAUUUACGUAUAUACAGGGAGGUGUAUAUAGCCAUAUAUACAUAUAUGCAACUAUACAUAUAUGUAUAUACAUGAAUAUGCAUACAUACAUAUGUACUAGUUUAUCUGUUGCCACACAUUCGCGUGGCUUUUCCCCGAUUUGAGUGCAGGAAAUGGUUAAUCUAGACCUAUGUAUAUAUCUGUAAAGUUAAUUAUCUGCCGCACUGUUCUAGGAGCUAAUUGGAAGAAUGUAAAAAUAUUGAUUAUAAUCAACAAACAGUAUGAAUUCCUGAAGUGAGAAGAAAGUUUCAAUAAAGUCUAUUAUAUUACAGUGUGAAUACUUCGUCAACCAUACCACGGGCUGAAAAACAGGCAAGCAAUUUUCAAUGAAUGCCACAAAAGGUGAAGCCAAGCAGGGUGGUCAUUGCUGCUAGAAAAGGCACGCCACUGCUAAGCACAAAAAGAGAGAGAUUUACAUUAUGAAAAUUUGGAAAAAAGAGUUGCUCAUCUAGUGCUUUUUGUUACCUAUUCUCUUGCUAGUAAAUAGGACCUACGUUGAGAAUGUAGCACAAGUAUUUGAUAAGGACAAAAAACUCACAUCCAUACAAGACUAAUUAGCAAAAUUAGAAAAUCAAAUGCUGAAAUUUAGUUGGGAAAUAUAGACCAUUGCUGCUUUGGCUCUGAACUUACAAAGCCUAACAUUCAGGUAUUCAAAUUUGUUCAUCUCAGUAUUGCAGUUUAGGUUUUGGACUUUCAUUUCCUAACCAACAAUUUAGCAAAUAUGGUCAGAAUGAUGAUAAAAUUAUGUCGAUGCAAGUAAAUAAAAUACUUGCAUAAAGUACAAGAAGCCAAGGAACUCUCUUAUCAUCCAAUUUAAGCAAAUUCUCAAGCUCACAACAUUCUUGGUGUCAAAUAUACCCGCAGCAUUUGCACUUCUAUUUGUAUGGACUGCCAUUUAAACUAUCCUCCUCUAGGUUGCCAUUAUGUAGACUACACACCUUAGCCUUUCCAUCUUCCCACCACCGCAUUCCUUCUCUCUCGUGUUACCAAGACAGGACUGUCUUCAUGCAUAUUUCACUGAUACAUAACCUUAUGAAUGCAAUGAAUAACUCACAUUCAAUUCAAUUGAGACAUAAUCUUGUGAAUGCAACGUGUUCACAGCACAUACAUGGCUCACAGGAAAUUCUAAAUAUCAUUCCGAUCUAGAUUUGCCAUAGGUAAAUGCCAACAGCACCAUCCCACCAUUUUAAAACUUCAUCAUAGAAAGAGAAGAGCUCCCUGCUCCUACGUAAUAUAUGAACUUCAACAGCAUCGGGAAACACAUAUGAAAAAUAUCAAAUAAUUGAUAUGUCUCUAGAUUCAACCUCCCAGGGUUAAAGCUAAAUACUCCGAAUGGUCGACAGUAAGUCAUAUAUACUCGAUAAAAACACCCAUCUUCAGCACCACUACUUAAAAAAAUGCACAUGCAGCAUUCCUUAGAUGAUGGUUACUCAUCUAGAAUUUAAGUUGCAGUUCAUUUAAUAACCAGAAGCAUUAUAUCAAAGAAGCAACAAUCAGGCUAUCAAAGCCAUAACUUAUCAUGUUAAGUUAAAAGCUAGAUCAAGUCCCUUUGAAUCUCGUUCUGGUGCAUAACAAUGGGUACUCACAUGCAAGGAGUGGAGUAAACAUUCUAUAGCACUUAUAUAGCUUCACCCUCAAAAAAUAAAAACCUUCCACAGGAUCAAGCAAACAUAGAAAACAAGCUGAUUUAUCAUUCACUUGUUUAGCAAUUCUUUUUCUCAACAACUGUAAAAAGAGGGAAAAUAGCCCAGCUACGGGACGUCUCAUAGCCUGUUCUGUAUUGAAGCCAAUGAAAAGUUGUGUACUAUUGAGAGAACUAACCAAACUUGAGCAGAAAAAAUUUCCCUUCAUCCCAUCAUUGCGAUACCAAAUACCCAAACGGAUUUUAUCUUAAUCAUUUAACUGACGAAAUUUGUCGAUUAAGCAAAACAACAAUUAUAAUAAUUAAUCAAGAAAUAAAUGAUAUAAACCUGAUUUAUUCACCACUGCCACUACUCUCAGAGUCUUCUGGGACAAAGGAACACUUUAAUACACUUGAUAUCUUCAUACUUAACAACUGCUGGAGACAAAGAAUGGAGCAGGAACAAUAAUUGCUCAUUUGAGGACAAAAAGUUUUCUUCAGCAAAAUAAGUCAAGAGAUUUUAUUUUCCUUCCCAUGAACAUACCUCAUUUGCCUAACAUUCAAAUAAUUGCUCUCAAAGGUAGAAACUAAUAUACCACCUCUAUCCUCUAUCAACCACACAAAAACAGAAUUGCUAUAGAUAAAUAGAAAAACUGAAUUCAAAUACAAAAUUAAUUAAAAAAAAAAGUGAUACGUACCACUUAAAAAGCCAUAUAAAAUCAAUUCCCCAAAUAGAAAUCAAUCAAAGAUUAAACUCAAAUUUUAAAAAUUCAAUGAAAAAAAAGAGAAUCUUUGAGCACAAACACCAACUACAAAAGUGCUCACAAUCUAGAAAACAAAGAAACGAAAAUUUGAAAGAAACAAAUAAGACAAAACUUAGGGUAAGAACAAAAUUUUGUAAAAUACAAGAGAGGAAGUAAUGAAUCUGGGUAGUCUCGCCAAGAUGCAUGCCCAUGUGUUUGUGAAAGUGAACGAAGGGUGGUGCGAUUGAAUAGAAGAGGCAGGAAUUGCUAGAUAAUUGUUGAUGAGCUGAGGGAAUUUUUUGUCUUUUAACCAUCAGCUCUCUACGCUCUAUUGUUGUCCCAGAUUAACACUAGAGCUGUGAAAGAUGAAGAUGAUGACACCACAGGUAAAUUUACCUCCAUGCUUGGUCUGUGCAGAAAAGGAGUAUACAAUGGAAGAGAAGCAAUUUGUGGACAAUUGGGAGAUCGGAGUGGGGAGACAGAGUGACAACAAUGGAAGGUUAGAGGAGAGAGUGGAAUUGCUAGGAUGUUUGUCAAGUUCACGGCAAAAGCCACUGGAAUUGUUAAAACUUACAAGAUAACCAGUCCAUUAUCUAACCAAAAGAUGAAGAUGCCCCAAAAAAUUCAACAAAUCCACAAUAAUACCGCAACAGUCUCAGCAGCCAACCAGAGAUCAAAUUAGAUGAUGAAAUCAAUUGAUAACCAAAUAACCACAGCAACUGCUUUAAAUUACCAAAUAACCAAAUCCGGUCAAAAUAAGUGGCCCAGUCAAAAUAAUUGAGCAUCUAAAUUGGAAUUCAAUUGACAAUCCAAUUCCACUCAUUCUCAUCUUUACAAUAUUAAGGAUGUAUAUACUAGUUAUUGAGCAACAUGCCCAGACAGUGUGGAAUGGCAUAUAGAUUUAUAACCGCAAACUGCAGAAACAUACAACUAAAAAAUUACUGUGCAAAGCCACAGCUUCUCCAUUCUGGCUUGCUAAUCUGCUUUAACUGCAGCUUUAAAGCUAUUCAAAAUGUAUUGCAAGAGAUGCACAAACUUCAUGUAAAAACUACAAUCAUAACCAAAAGCAAAAUUACAUUGUCAUAUUACUGAAGAGCUCCAACCUUAGGAAGCUUGCACAUUCUAUCUUUCUCAAGAUAAGAAGGAUAGCAAAGCUCACUAAGAGAAGCAAGUCCAACUAGUAUUUUUUGAUAUCAUGACAUGGUACAAGAUUAAAUUAUAACUCAUUCAGAGAUUAUACUCCUAAUUCAUUUAUUUCGGUGUAAAAUAUGCUAAAAAUAUGUUCUUCGAAGAUGGUAUCUCCCAAGAGAUACUCAAAUUUGUCCCUAAAAGCAAGCAUAAAGCCAAAAUAACAAGUGUUGUUCCUUUGAGUACCGGCAUGAAGCCACAUCCAACAGAUGCAUUCAAAAUUUCUCCUUAUCCAUUAAUCCAUGUAAGCAAGAGCAGGAUCCUCGUAAAUCUCCUCUAUAACCCAUUUUGGGGGGAGAAAAUCUAAACAACGAAAUGCCAGACAAUAAUUUGUAAACGUACCUCAUUUGGUCCCCGUCUGGUGUUCACGAAGGCGCCGACGGCGAAGACAGCGGCUAAGAAGAGUAAACCCCAUAUAUCGUUAAAUCUUUGGUUGCAGUCGUUGAUCUUUUCCUGCAACUUUGUAACCUCAAGCUGCAUUUCCAUUUGCUUGGCGCUCAAAUUGGCAACUUCCGACGCUUUAACUGCCGCGGCACGGGCCUCCCUAUCCAGCAUCUGCUCCAAUUUCUUUUGCAAUAACACGAGACCUGUGGCGAUUGAUCUCGUGACGACCGAUGAUAAAGCUAAAUCGCCAAGGUUAAUGUCAGUCUCGCCUGGGGCUAAGGUUGGGGUUUGGGUUGCAGGGGUCGGGGUCCCGGUCCCGGACCGGGAUUGGGUAGGGGUCGGGGUUGGGGUCCCGGUCCCGGACGUCGGGGUCGGGACCGGGAAUUGGGUAGGGAUCGGGGUCGGUGUGGAGGUCACGGUUGGGGUCGGGUCAGCCACAGAAAUAGGGGUGGAUUGGGACUCGACGGUUGAAAACCGUCU
RNAcentral lists this long non-coding RNA (6080 nucleotides) under Coffea arabica (coffee). RNAcentral's name for it is "long non-coding RNA (CARA_LNC003107)". The record is from RNAcentral. Lineage: Eukaryota; Viridiplantae; Streptophyta; Magnoliopsida; Gentianales; Rubiaceae.